RNAcentral lists this ribosomal RNA (106 nucleotides) under uncultured bacterium. RNAcentral's name for it is "partial 16S ribosomal RNA". It matches the Rfam family "Bacterial small subunit ribosomal RNA", at positions 356 to 460 of the family's 1533-position model. The record is from RNAcentral.
GAGGAAUAUUGGACAAUGGAGGAGACUCUGAUCCAGCCAUGCCGCGUGCAGGAAGAAUGCCCUAUGGGUAGUAAACUGCUUUUAUACGGGAAGAAAAAGAGCUACG